UUUCCUGGGCUUCUGGGAUCUCAUAAAGAUGCUUGCUAGAAAGAAUAUUUAGUCCAAGCUGGGAGGAGUAGUGAUUUUGAUAAGAAAAUCAAGAGCCCUGGCCAUGCUCCUACCUAGAUGUGGGCUGUGGGCUCUGAUAUCAUUGGUGGCUCCUGGUUAGC
This is a long non-coding RNA of Phyllostomus discolor (pale spear-nosed bat), 161 nucleotides long. RefSeq lists it as uncharacterized. NCBI's taxonomy places the organism in Eukaryota, Metazoa, Chordata, Mammalia, Chiroptera, Phyllostomidae. The record is from RefSeq and is a predicted model, not a curated record. The transcript has 3 exons.